UAGGGAAUCUUCGGCAAUGGACGGAAGUCUGACCGAGCAACGCCGCGUGAGUGAAGAAGGUUUUCGGAUCGUAAAGCUCUGUUGUCAGAGAAGAACGUUGGUAGGAGUGGAAAAUCUAUCAAGUGACGGUAACUAACCAGAAAGGGACGGCUAACUACGUGCCAGCAGCCGCGGUAAUACGUAGGUCCCGAGCGUUGUCCGGAUUUAUUGGGCGUAAAGCGAGCGCAGGCGGUUCUUUAAGUCUGAAGUUAAAGGCAGUGGCUUAACCAUUGUACGCUUUGGAAACUGGAGUACUUGAGUGCAGAAGGGGAGAGUGGAAUUCCAUGUGUAGCGGUGAAAUGCGUAGAUAUAUGGAGGAACACCGGUGGCGAAAGCGGCUCUCUGGUCUGUAACUGACGCUGAGGCUCGAAAGCGUGGGGAGCAAACAGG
This 429-nucleotide ribosomal RNA is filed under the name Bacillota bacterium. RNAcentral's name for it is "Firmicutes bacterium partial 16S ribosomal RNA". It matches the Rfam family "Bacterial small subunit ribosomal RNA", at positions 355 to 776 of the family's 1533-position model. The record is from RNAcentral. Lineage: Bacteria; Bacillati; Bacillota.